This 1024-nucleotide ribosomal RNA is filed under the name Rhinocladiella atrovirens. Its description in RNAcentral is "SSU rRNA". It matches the Rfam family "Eukaryotic small subunit ribosomal RNA", at positions 72 to 1111 of the family's 1831-position model. The record is from RNAcentral. Lineage: Eukaryota; Fungi; Ascomycota; Eurotiomycetes; Chaetothyriales; Herpotrichiellaceae.
CAUCAUACUGUGAACUGCGAAUGGCUCAUUAAAUCAGUUAUCGUUUAUUUGAUAGUACCUUUACCUGGAUAACCGUGGUAAUUCUAGAGCUAAUACAUGCUAACAACCCCGACUUCGGGAGGGGUGUAUUUAUUAGAUAAAAAACCAAUGCCCUUCGGGGCUCCUUGGUGAUUCAUAAUAACUUAACGAAUCGCAUGGCCUUGCGCCGGCGAUGGUUCAUUCAAAUUUCUGCCCUAUCACCUUUCGAUUGUAAGAUAGAGGCUUACAAUGGGAGCAACGGGUAACGGGGAAUAAGGGUUCUAUUCCGGAGAGGGAGCCUGAGAAACGGCUACCACAUCCAAGGAAGGCAGCAGGCGCGCAAAUUACCCAAUCCCGAUACGGGGAGGUAGUGACAAUAAAUACUGAUACGGGGCUCUUUCGGGUCUCGUAAUUGGAAUGAGUACAAUCUAAAUCCCUUAACGAGGAACAAUUGGAGGGCAAGUCUGGUGCCAGCAGCCGCGGUAAUUCCAGCUCCAAUAGCGUAUAUUAAAGUUGUUGCCGUUAAAAAGCUCGUAGUUGAACCUUGGCCCUGGCUGAUCUGUCCUCCUAAUCGAGCGCACGGAUUCGGUCGGGGCUUUCCUUCUGGGGAGCCCCAUGCCCUUCACUGGGUGUGGCGGGGAACCAGGACUUUUACCUUGAAAAAAUUAGAGUGUUCAAAGCAGGCCUUUGCUCGAAUACAUUAGCAUGGAAUAAUAGAAUAGGACAUCGGUUCUAUUUUGUUGGUUUCUAGGACCGCUGUAAUGAUUAAUAGGGACAGUCGGGGGCGUCAGUAUUCAAUUGUCAGAGGUGAAAUUCUUGGAUUUAUUGAAGACUAACUACUGCGAAAGCAUUCGCCAAGGAUGUUUUCAUUAAUCAGUGAACGAAAGUUAGGGGAUCGAAGACGAUCAGAUACCGUCGUAGUCUUAACCAUAAACUAUGCCGACUAGGGAUCGGACGGUGGUUUUUUUAUGCCCCGUUCGGCACCUUACGAGAAAUCAAAGUUUGG